Molecule: long non-coding RNA, 316 nt
Organism: Bombyx mandarina (wild silkworm)
Lineage: Eukaryota; Metazoa; Arthropoda; Insecta; Lepidoptera; Bombycidae
Source: RefSeq, a predicted model, not a curated record
AAUCCGUCAAUUCUUCUAAUUAAAAUUGAAAGUGAUCGGCAUGGUUCGAAGCUCAAUUGGUUUAUUGUGGAUUUUCUAUAGUUUUUUACCCCCGUGAAUUUUGAGAAUAGCUGAAGUCACUUUGGUAAACUUCAUGGACCAAUGCAGUUCCUGAGAGGCAGAAUAUUCUACUAAUGGUUGUAACAGGGUAGCUGCAUGCAAAAAAUGAAGACUGCUGAUAAUGGAGAAGAAUGCAAGUUUUUUGUUUGAUGAUGCUGAUGACUGGGCUGGAGGAUACCGUGAUGCUACAGUUUUGUAAUAAAACAAUGAAUAUGGA